CCACACAGUAAACGAUGAAUACUCGCUGUUGGCGAUAUACAGUCAGCGGCCAAGCGAAAGCAUUAAGUAUUCCACCUGGGGAGUACGCCGGCAACGGUGAAACUCAAAGGAAUUGACGGGGGCCCGCACAAGCGGAGGAACAUGUGGUUUAAUUCGAUGAUACGCGAGGAACCUUACCCGGGCUUAAAUUGCAACUGACGGAAUCGGAAACGGUUCUUUCUUCGGACAGUUGUGAAGGUGCUGCAUGGUUGU
This 252-nucleotide ribosomal RNA is filed under the name uncultured bacterium. RNAcentral describes it as "partial 16S ribosomal RNA". It matches the Rfam family "Bacterial small subunit ribosomal RNA", at positions 795 to 1052 of the family's 1533-position model. The record is from RNAcentral.